Molecule: small RNA, 3214 nt
Filed under: Rattus norvegicus (Norway rat)
Lineage: Eukaryota; Metazoa; Chordata; Mammalia; Rodentia; Muridae
Description: uncharacterized LOC100912310
Source: RNAcentral
ACACACACACACACACACUAAGCCAGAGGCUCCUGGGCCUUUCCUCCCUGCACAUGCUCUCUUGUCUGCAGCCAUAUUGUAUUACCGAAUCCCAGUCCCAAGAAAGGGCUGAAUAAAUGUUUGCAACUGACUGUGAGUGGAGACAGAAAAAUCCACCCAUUUGGAAAGAAGAAAGCCCUCCCGAACUCAGAGUGACUGGUCCUCCGUGGAGGGCUGAGGCUAACCCCGACACCAUGUGUCUCUGUGGGCCAUGGCAGAGAGGCCUGUGUCCAUCUCACUUCUGCCCCUUCCUCAGCCUCUCUGAGGAACCCAUCUGUACAGUGAGAUCUCCUGAAGGGUUAAAUGCUGUGAUUCAGUGAGGAGGCAUCAUCUGCAGGCUCCAUCACCCUAGUCUGGGGGAUGUUGCCUCUCUACUCCUCAGAAUGUUGUUUCCUAGGCUUGGGGUCAGAGGGUAUCCUAGGAGUCAUCAUCACCUUGUAGGGAGUUGGUCAGAGAGAAGAAGCCUGUGUGGUGACCGUGUAGCUGCUAACAUUUCUGAGUUAUUCCCCAUAAUCCUUUGUCCUGAGGGAAUCUGUGUUGGAGUUCAGUGUGCAUGAAGGGGUCGUGGGAUAGACUUGGGACCCUUUCUCCACUGCACCAGCUCACCUUGGGACCCAGGAUGCUUCAUUCCCUCCCUGAGCUGGGUGGGUGUCUCUGCCCCUGGAGGUGUAUUGUAGCCUAAGUCUAGAGACAGCUGCUGUACACCGAAUAGAGCCUGUGACCCUGCCUGCGGAGUCGGCCUUUCUAGGUCUGCAGAAUCCCAUAAGAGGCCCUGAAGUUCAAGGUGAGUCUCACCCACAUCCAUGGAGCGUCUGCCUGAGUCCUCAAGCUACAGUAGAGCUCAGAAUCCACACUAAAAGAAGGCUCAGCUGAGGUUGCUCAGCAAGGUCAUGUAUUCAUCCAGCAAACAUUCCCAGCUUUCUUAGAGGCACGAGGAGAGAUGACAUCAUGUGACCACCACCUCCUGGGACUCAUACUUCAAGUUCAUUUUAUAGUUCUGGGGUAGAAAACUGGGGACAGUCACAGUCAAAGCAGUGAUGCUCGGAGAAGGAGAGGAGGAGGAGGGGAAGAAGGAGGAGGAGGAAGAGGAAGAGGAGGAAGAAGAGGAAGAAGAGGAAGAUGCCUGUGAGGAUGUCUAAGCUGGUGACAGAAGCCCCCAGAGCUUGUGACCUCUGACCUGAGUCCCCAGGACCAGCUUAGGCCACUGCCUCCUGGGAUGGAAGACGGACCCACCUGGCAGCCAUCUUCAGAACGUUGUGCAGAGUUCCAGAGGAGCUGGACAAGUCAGACCACCCGGAGAACAGGGUUGUGCCUGUUGGCGAGAAGAAAUUCAGUCACCUCACCCCUGCGAGACCGAUAGAAGGCUUGAUGAUUGGCAGCCCAGAGGCAUUCCCUGCCCCUGAAAGCCCCACCUACCCUAACACAGUACCUGGCGGCUGUGAUCUGAGGAUUACAAGAUCCAAGAUAUCCUUGGGCAGCUCCACACUAAGAUAGAAAUCAGUCUGAGGCCACUGCACUAUAAAACAGGGUCAUAAAUAAAGACUGCAUUCAAAUUCUACCCUGAGUUGGCUUGGCUGUAGCCUCCCCUAAGGUUGCUGGCCUUUCUGAACCUGGAUUUACCCACCUGAGAAAUAGGAUCUCAUCUUCUUGUCCUAUGUGCACCUCUCUGUGGUCAGACUAGGAAUCUGGAGCCCAGAGGUGCAAGGCUGAGGUCGAAUGGGCACUUAGAAACUGUGUCCCAGUUCAAAGGACAGUUAAGGGGCUGGGAACUGGGGUCUCUGCCUCCCACGCAGCUUUUCUCAAGAACAGAAAUCAGGAAAGCAUGAAUCCAGGGUGUAACCUGUAACCGCUGUGCAGCCUUGAGCUGAUAAUCAAACCUCUCUGAACCUGUCUUUUUUUUCUCGGCCUCAGAAUGAGGCCAGCCAUAACUAGGGUUAUGAGAAGCCAGUAGAGGGUACCUAUCACCUUUGUAAUAAGGAAGCACCAGCAGCUCAGGUGACAGCAAGGGACAAGCCAGACCCUCACCCCCCACCCCCGCUCCACUCCUGUGCUCCUGUGCUCAAUGGUCGAGCAGAAGCAAUCCCACUGUUCCACAUCACCCAUAAGUCUGAAAAAGAGGCCUUGCCAAUAUGGGGGGUCAAAGUAGGAUCCCCAGGACGUGAGCAAGGAAAAGUGCAAAGUUGGCACUAGCAGACCAGUGGGAACAGGACUAGUGAGCACACACUGAGAAGAAAGGCCAAGCGAAGGAGCUCGCCCGCACGCAGCUGCAGCCCAUGUGGAAAGGGAGGCUCUUCCCUGCGCAGGCUUGCAGGAGUGAGCGAGUGUUUUCUCUGCCCGUCCCAUUAAUCUGUUUGCUGUGUCCUGUUCCCGCCCUCCCACCUCCUGUGCCUGUUCAUCCCGGGCUCACUCCCUCUCCUGAGGGCUCCACGGGUCAUUAAAACCGAAACAAGCCCGGCUCUGAUGGUUAAACCAGAUGCCAGGCGCGUCCUGCCGGCCCCUCUCGGGGUCAGACCGUGGGGGGCCUAGGUUCCCAAGGGGGACGGGCCAGACUGAGGGGAAACCCAACCCGAGACACAUGGAGAUCAUUUGCCAGAAGAAUGGGAUCCGUGACCAGCUCCAGCAGAGGGCAAGGAGGGAGAGAGGGGGUAAGGGCAGUGGGGCCAGGCCAAACUGGGCGCCACCCUGUGCUGAGGCUGGCUCAGCCCAGUGCAGGCUCGUUCCCUCCCCCAUCUCAACCAGGCUUGGCCAGGCCUCCAGGCCCUCCGGGCCCCCAGUAUCAUCUCCAGUGUGCCAAGGAUUGAAAGAAAGCUUUCGCAGCCUCUGACCCCCACCCCUACCUCCACCCCCACCCCAGCAGCUCAAGUCCCUCAACAGAUAGCUGAUACAUAGAAGAUGAAAACCAAGACUCAGAGGGGUCAUGUGACUUUCCAAAAGACAAACAGCAAAUCAGCAGAGGCAUCAGCCAGGAAUUUCCCAGAAGGCUACGGGUGGGUAGCUUGUUCACUCAGAAGGGAUGGAGUGACCUGGUCACCAUUUGCCAAACUGGUCAUGCUGUACCUUCAUGCCCCCUGAGGUGGGUCUCCUGACCAUGGUUGGGUCCCCAUUUGCUUGUCUGUUACCUUAACAACAGUUGUGUUCAAUAUAACUCAGGCCCCAUAAGUUUGGAUGGUGGUUC